This 73-nucleotide transfer RNA is filed under the name Perca fluviatilis (European perch). It matches the Rfam family "tRNA". From Rfam's summary of the family: Transfer RNA (tRNA) molecules are approximately 80 nucleotides in length. Their secondary structure includes four short double-helical elements and three loops (D, anti-codon, and T loops). The record is from Rfam by way of RNAcentral. Lineage: Eukaryota; Metazoa; Chordata; Actinopteri; Perciformes; Percidae.
GUUUCAGUAGCGUAGUGGUUAUCACGUUCGCCUAACAUGCGAAAGGUCCUCUGUUCAAAACAGGGCAGAAACC